AGCGGCGGACGGGUGAGUAACACGUGGAUAACCUACCUAUAAGACUGGGAUAACUUCGGGAAACCGGAGCUAAUACCGGAUAAUAUUUUGAACCGCAUGGUUCAAAAGUGAAAGACGGUCUUGCUGUCACUUAUAGAUGGAUCCGCGCUGCAUUAGCUAGUUGGUAAGGUAACGGCUUACCAAGGCAACGAUGCAUAGCCGACCUGAGAGGGUGAUCGGCCACACUGGAACUGAGACACGGUCCAGACUCCUACGGGAGGCAGCAGUAGGGAAUCUUCCGCAAUGGGCGAAAGCCUGACGGAGCAACGCCGCGUGAGUGAUGAAGGUCUUCGGAUCGUAAAACUCUGUUAUUAGGGAAGAACAUAUGUGUAAGUAACUGUGCACAUCUUGACGGUACCUAAUCAGAAAGCCACGGCUAACUACGUGCCAGCAGCCGCGGUAAUACGUAGGUGGCAAGCGUUAUCCGGAAUUAUUGGGCGUAAAGCGCGCGUAGGCGGUUUUUUAAGUCUGAUGUGAAAGCCCACGGCUCAACCGUGGAGGGUCAUUGGAAACUGGAAAACUUGAGUGCAGAAGAGGAAAGUGGAAUUCCAUGUGUAGCGGUGAAAUGCGCAGAGAUAUGGAGGAACACCAGUGGCGAAGGCGACUUUCUGGUCUGUAACUGACGCUGAUGUGCGAAAGCGUGGGGAUCAAACAGGAUUAG
RNAcentral lists this ribosomal RNA (700 nucleotides) under uncultured Staphylococcus sp. RNAcentral describes it as "bacterial SSU rRNA". It matches the Rfam family "Bacterial small subunit ribosomal RNA", at positions 94 to 781 of the family's 1533-position model. The record is from RNAcentral. Lineage: Bacteria; Bacillati; Bacillota; Bacilli; Caryophanales; Staphylococcaceae.